This 506-nucleotide ribosomal RNA is filed under the name uncultured bacterium. RNAcentral's name for it is "partial 16S ribosomal RNA". It matches the Rfam family "Bacterial small subunit ribosomal RNA", at positions 29 to 523 of the family's 1533-position model. The record is from RNAcentral.
AGUGAACGCUGGCGGUAGGCCUAACACAUGCAAGUCGAACGGCAGCACAGGAGAGCUUGCUCUCUGGGUGGCGAGUGGCGGACGGGUGAGGAAUACAUCGGAAUCCACUCUGUCGUGGGGGAUAACGUAGGGAAACUUACGCUAAUACCGCAUACGACCUACGGGUGAAAGCAGGGGACCUUCGGGCCUUUCGCGAUUGAAUGAGCCGAUGUCGGAUUAGCUAGUUGGCGGGGUAAAGGCCCACCAAGGCGACGAUCCGUAGCUGGUCUGAGAGGAUGAUCAGCCACACUGGAACUGAGACACGGUCCAGACUCCUACGGGAGGCAGCAGUGGGGAAUAUUGGACAAUGGGCGCAAGCCUGAUCCAGCCAUACCGCGUGGGUGAAGAAGGCCUUCGGGUUGUAAAGCCCUUUUGUUGGGAAAGAAAUCCGGCUGGCUAAUACCCGGUUGGGAUGACGGUACCCAAAGAAUAAGCACCGGCUAACUUCGUGCCAGCCGCCGCGGUAA